Molecule: transfer RNA, 73 nt
Filed under: Blastocatellia bacterium
Lineage: Bacteria; Pseudomonadati; Acidobacteriota; Blastocatellia
Also listed under: 1 other name
Description: tRNA-Glu
Rfam family: tRNA
About the family: Transfer RNA (tRNA) molecules are approximately 80 nucleotides in length.
Source: RNAcentral
GACUCGUUCGUCUAGGGGCCUAGGACACCGCCCUUUCACGGCGGCAACACGGGUUCAAAUCCCGUACGAGUCA